UACGGGAGGCAGCAGUGGGGAAUAUUGCACAAUGGGCGCAAGCCUGAUGCAGCCAUGCCGCGUGUAUGAAGAAGGCCUUCGGGUUGUAAAGUACUUUUCAGUCGUGAGGAAGGUGUUAAGGUUAAUAACCUUAGCAAUUGACGUUAGCGACAGAAGAAGCACCGGCUAACUCCGUGCCAGCAGCCGCGGUAAUACGGAGGGUGCGAGCGUUAAUCGGAAUUACUGGGCGUAAAGGGCACGCAGGCGGUUAAUUAAGUUGGAUGUGAAAUCCCCGGGCUUAACCUGGGAAUGGCAUUCAAGACUGGUUAGCUAGAGUCUUGUAGAGGGGGUAGAAUUCCAUGUGUAGCGGUGAAAUGCGUAGAGAUGUGGAGGAAUACCGGUGGCGAAGGCGGCCCCUGGGACAAAGGACUGACGCUCAUGUGCGAAAGCGUGGGGAGCAAAC
This 442-nucleotide ribosomal RNA is filed under the name uncultured bacterium. RNAcentral's name for it is "bacterial SSU rRNA". It matches the Rfam family "Bacterial small subunit ribosomal RNA", at positions 340 to 773 of the family's 1533-position model. The record is from RNAcentral.